This 205-nucleotide ribosomal RNA is filed under the name Escherichia coli. RNAcentral describes it as "partial 16S ribosomal RNA". It matches the Rfam family "Bacterial small subunit ribosomal RNA", at positions 1 to 211 of the family's 1533-position model. The record is from RNAcentral. Lineage: Bacteria; Pseudomonadati; Pseudomonadota; Gammaproteobacteria; Enterobacterales; Enterobacteriaceae.
UUAAAUUGAAGAGUUUGAUCAUGGCUCAGAUUGAACGCUGGCGGCAGGCCUAACACAUGCAAGUCGAACGGUAACAGAAAGAAGCUUGCUUCUUUGCUGACGAGUGGCGGACGGGUGAGUAAUGUCUGGGAAACUGCCUGAUGGAGGGGGAUAACUACUGGAAACGGUAGCUAAUACCGCAUAACGUCGCAAGACCAAAGAGGGG